GGGAUAGCCUUUCGAAAGAAAGAUUAAUACCCGAUGGCAUAGUUCUUCCGCAUGGUGGAACUAUUAAAGAAUUUCGGUCAUCGAUGGGGAUGCGUUCCAUUAGGUUGUUGGCGGGGUAACGGCCCACCAAGCCUUCGAUGGAUAGGGGUUCUGAGAGGAAGGUCCCCCACAUUGGAACUGAGACACGGUCCAAACUCCUACGGGAGGCAGCAGUGAGGAAUAUUGGUCAAUGGACGAGAGUCUGAACCAGCCAAGUAGCGUGAAGGAUGACUGCCCUAUGGGUUGUAAACUUCUUUUAUACGGGAAUAAAGUGAGGCACGUGUGCCUUUUUGUAUGUACCGUAUGAAUAAGGAUCGGCUAACUCCGUGCCAGCAGCCGCGGUAAUACGGAGGAUCCGAGCGUUAUCCGGAUUUAUUGGGUUUAAAGGGAGCGUAGGCGGACGCUUAAGUCAGUUGUGAAAGUUUGCGGCUCAACCGUAAAAUUGCAGUUGAUACUGGGUGUCUUGAGUACAGUAGAGGCAGGCGGAAUUCGUGGUGUAGCGGUGAAAUGCUUAGAUAUCACGAAGAACUCCGAUUGCGAAGGCAGCUUGCUGGACUGUAACUGACGCUGAUGCUCGAAAGUGUGGGUAUCAAACAGGAUUAGAUACCCUGGUAGUCCACACAGUAAACGAAGAAGACUCGCUGUUUGCGAUAUACAGUAAGCGGCCAAG
RNAcentral lists this ribosomal RNA (709 nucleotides) under uncultured bacterium. RNAcentral describes it as "bacterial SSU rRNA". It matches the Rfam family "Bacterial small subunit ribosomal RNA", at positions 140 to 851 of the family's 1533-position model. The record is from RNAcentral.